UGCAGACUACGGAAUGGGGACUUCGGCGCUUUCAAAGUUCAAAAACAUGCGCACAUUCUUCUAAACAUACAUUCACGUGCUAAUGUGUCCGGCCUUGCCUCAUGACAUUGUCAUGUUCAGUGAAACAGCACAGCUAAGCCUCUUCGAAGCCGCUUCUACCGCCAUCUGUGCGAGCACGUACGUCGUCUGGAUCUACGUCGAUCACAUGCGCGACAACUAGAUAGUGAAACCAGCGAUAGUUGGAAGCACGAGUUGAAGAAUGGACGAUAGGCGGUCUACUUGAAAGAAAGGCGGUGACGUGUUGUCUUCUAUCAUAUUUAUCUUUGUGCUUCCGUCUUCGGUCGUUAGAUGCUAGGAGAUAAAGCAGCUACUUGCUUUCGACCAACGUAUGUUGCAGCGCAUCGCAGUCGACUAGAGGAGACACACACACGAUUCAGAUAGGCUCUUUAUUGCGCAGUAUCAGACAAUGAAGAUGCAUUGCCAGGACAGUGUGAAGAUCACGGAACUUGCUGACAAGGUGAAAACUUCUUUUGCCUUGGAGACGAUCACAUCCAUCUGAGGGCCCGGAGUUGAUUUCAUACAACUUGUAGCUCAUCUGGGCGAUACAGCUAGUCGGCAAGGUCAAAAUUAUGUGGGCAAAACAACAAGUCACAUACCAAAGCACGGCUACUAUUAAUUGGAGCACUUUCUUCACUUGACUGUGGCUGGAUCAGGUGUGGAAUGUUAAAACUCAUAUGAUAUCUAGUUUGGAUUGAUGAACAGAGGAAACAUGAGAUUCUCCAGGAAAAGGGAAGCCACCCAUUAUCAUUUAUCCAUUGCUUGCAUUCAACAAAAAACAAGAACUUCAAUCUUCAAGAUGUGAAAUAUCAGAGGAAGAUCGUAAACGAUUUCUUGCAAGCCACAAAGAGCUCCUUAAAGUUAUCUUGGGUGCUGACACGUAGCUUAAUAAAAAACCCGCUAAGAGAUUUAGUUAAGAAAUAUUUUGUUUUCAAUUGUUGGGCAGACUCAUUAAUCAUAGGAUCAUUUUAGCGUAAACAAACAGCUAAAAACAGUUCAGGACAUGCUACAAUACAAUUUUGUCAAUUUUUGCUUGCUG
Long non-coding RNA from Corticium candelabrum, 1096 nucleotides. RefSeq lists it as uncharacterized. The transcript is spliced from 3 exons. The record is from RefSeq and is a predicted model, not a curated record. NCBI's taxonomy places the organism in Eukaryota, Metazoa, Porifera, Homoscleromorpha, Homosclerophorida, Plakinidae.